This is an RNA transcript of Salmo salar (Atlantic salmon), 881 nucleotides long. It is a transcript of the gene named cytochrome c oxidase assembly factor 8, with no coding region annotated. The record is from RefSeq and is a predicted model, not a curated record. NCBI's taxonomy places the organism in Eukaryota, Metazoa, Chordata, Actinopteri, Salmoniformes, Salmonidae.
AUUUAAAUACAGGAAGUACAUGGAACGUCCUCUGUCACGUGGUAGCGUUGCAAGUUGGUCACAGACGAACUAAACAGUGGCUAUUUUCGUGUUACUUACGUCAAGAAGGUCGACGACGCUGUAAAACACAUUGUAGAAGAGGCCCUGAAAUGAGUGGCAAAACGACAGGAUAUUUUCUGCGGAGGUCACUAUGGCCUUGUAAUCUUUUAGGUCCAUUGCAUAUGCGGCGCAUAUCAGCGAACGCCAGUCGUCGGUGCAGUUCGAGUGAACCAACCAAGCAAGCGAAUUCAGUGAAGAGAUCCCAGUUCAUCCCAGCUGCUGAAUCUAAGCAUGACUGGGUUGGUCCACCUCACAGGCUGUCUAACCUGCGACCAAUCAUAUACCACAUCCCUGAGAAUGAGACUGAAUUGGAGAAGCAGCUUAGAACCUUGAGGCAAGAGACGGAGGAUUGGAACCAUGCGUUCUGGACCAAUCAGAAUAUCACUUUCAACAAGGAGAAGGAUGCCUUCGUCCUCUCACAACUGAAGGAGAAAGGCUUGACUGAGAGAGAUGAGAAAGGAAGGAAAAGGGCUUUAAACAGUGAAGAAAUGGCAGUCUUUUACAAACAUUUCCUGGAUGAAAACUGCAUAAGACAUGCAAAUUACAAUAAGUAAUUUUGGGUACUAUUGCUUACAGUUUAUCAAACAGGUGCAAAAGGAUGCCCUGUAUUGUCCUACUGUUUAAUGAGGGGGAUUGGUACAGACGUAACUUCACAAUCACCUUGCUUAUGGGCAGAGUGGCUUUCCACAGCGUCUGGAGAACACUUGCUGAGAGAAGAGGCUGGAAGAAAGGCAGCCCUACCACAUGAUACUCCAUUAAAUAUGCUAUCUUCUAUUCUCUCA